UCAUUGCACACAAGGGAAGGAGAGGACCAGAGGAGGACAAGGACCCGCCGUCGCCCAGAGUCCACACACCUUCGAUUCGAUCUUCGAGGCUUCGACAUAGUCCCAAUACUCCACAUCGGCAACUCAUCGGCGACCUCGGUCCACCUCGGCAUCCCGGCUCCGUCUUCUCCAGUUUGCCACCACAUCUUCCACGGUAGAAGCUAAGCAAUCAGUCAAAGUAAUAAGCGCCCAUCUCCCAUCAGUUGUCUUGAAUUUUUGUUUCAUUCUUUGUGUACUGUCCUGUAUGUACAUGGUAACUUGGAUGCACUGUUCUGCAUUACUAGUGACUUGUUGUUUUAUUUUUGUUUAUUCUGCAUAGAUGUUCAUAUGAUGUUAGUGGAGAAUCAGGGUUCUACUAGUAUUUGUAUUUUACUGAUGUUAGUUGUAACUUGUAUUUUGGAAUUCUUGUUAAUUCUUAUUGCGUAUAGAAGAAUGAUCCCAUGAAUUCUAAUUAUGUUCCUGAUUUUUAGAUGGUUCAACCUUGUGGAGUUGGUGAUGUUGAGAUGACUGAAGAGGAAGUGCAAGUCUAUGAAGAAGAAAGAAAGAAAGGAGGAGCAUGAACAGAAAAAAGAAGCAGAUGGAUGAACAACCUGGAAGAAGGCAGAAGAAGAAAAGAUCACACGCAUGGGAUCACUUUUCUAAGGUACUAGUAGUGUGCUCAAGCAAGCCCAAGGUUAGGCUUCUUCCACUUAUGCACAACUUUGAAUCACUUAGUAGCAGCUAUGGUUGCUAGUUUAGAAUGGUACUUUAAUGUACAAUAAACUGUUUUCAUUUUUUUCGAAAAUGAGAUGCUCUUAAUUAGAGGUGUUACUUAUUAUGUGCAUCUUAAUCAAUAACAUAAACUUGGAGGUUUUAUAUUUUAGUAAAUUAUGUAUGUAUUGUUCUUCAUCGUUGUACACAUGAACUUGUUAUUGUCGUGAGUAUUCCAAGAAAAGCAUGGUUCUUCCUUCCAGUUUAAGAUAUUUUUAUUUUCAUAUUGUUUUCAAAGUUUUAGUUGUCUAUUUAUGUUGCUCUGACAGGGAAUAUUAUAAUGAUGUGAAUGAUUGUUGGUUCGUCCAGAAUUUUCAGGAGGUGGCAGAAGUUGUCGUUAUAAUAGCAACAAUGAAAUGGAAUAUGCGGACUGGACAACUUUGUGGCAGAGGAAGCUAAUGUUCAUUUAAAGUUGUGGAAGAUACUGAUGUAUACAAGUAGAUUUGAUAUGCAAGAUGAUGUAUCUGUAGUACUUUGCUUGAUACUGAUUACUAAGUUUGAAAACUUGUUUAUGUAAAUUUGUGUUCAAAUCUGAUUCUGUUUAUAAUGCACUUAUAUGUGCAAUGUGUAUGUGUAUGUGGAUUUGAUCUAUGGAAUAUCUUAAUGAAUUGUAAAACCUACUUUUAUAUUUGUCUGAAUCAAGUGGAGGCGUG
RNAcentral lists this long non-coding RNA (1442 nucleotides) under Triticum aestivum (bread wheat). Its description in RNAcentral is "long non-coding RNA (TAES_LNC016222)". Lineage: Eukaryota; Viridiplantae; Streptophyta; Magnoliopsida; Poales; Poaceae. The record is from RNAcentral.